GCGUGCCUACACAUGCAAGUCGAACGGGAAUCUUCGGAUUCUAGUGGCGGACGGGUGAGUAACGCGUAAGAAUCUAACUUCAGGACGGGGACAACAGUUGGAAACGACUGCUAAUACCCGAUGUGCCGAAAGGUGAAACCUAAUUGGCCUGAAGAAGAGCUUGCGUCUGAUUAGCUAGUUGGUGGGGUAAAGGCCUACCAAGGCGACGAUCAGUAGCUGGUCUGAGAGGAUGAGCAGCCACACUGGGACUGAGACACGGCCCAGACUCCUACGGGAGGCAGCAGUGGGGAAUUUUCCGCAAUGGGCGAAAGCCUGACGGAGCAACGCCGCGUGAGGGAGGAAGGUCUUUGGAUUGUAAACCUCUUUUCUCAAGGAAGAAGUUCUGACGGUACUUGAGGAAUCAGCCUCGGCUAACUCCGUGCCAGCAGCCGCGGUAAUACGGGGGAGGCAAGCGUUAUCCGGAAUUAUUGGGCGUAAAGCGUCCGCAGGUGGUCAGCCAAGUCUGCCGUCAAAUCAGGUUGCUUAACGACCUAAAGGCGGUGGAAACUGGCAGACUAGAGAGCAGUAGGGGUAGCAGGAAUUCCCAGUGUAGCGGUGAAAUGCGUAGAGAUUGGGAAGAACAUCGGUGGCGAAAGCGUGCUACUGGGCUGUAUCUGACACUCAGGGACGAAAGCUAGGGGAGCGAAAGGGAUUAGAUACCCCUGUAGUCCUAGCCGUAAACGAUGGAUACUAGGCGUGGCUUGUAUCGAC
This 750-nucleotide ribosomal RNA is filed under the name uncultured cyanobacterium. Its description in RNAcentral is "bacterial SSU rRNA". It matches the Rfam family "Bacterial small subunit ribosomal RNA", at positions 42 to 836 of the family's 1533-position model. Lineage: Bacteria; Bacillati; Cyanobacteriota. The record is from RNAcentral.